AGGAGGAAUUGGAAGUUUGUCGGCUUAGACCUGGUGUCAUUCCAUCAGUGUUAAACUUCCCGGCUCAUCUUGGAAGAGUACGUGCCAGAAAGACCACGACCAAGCAGCCUUGAGAUCUUAGGCAGCAUCUCCCUGAGGUCCCUCUCUAUCUCCCCACACAUCCACCAACCACUGGAACACAUCUCCAAAGUUCUGCCGGGCCAGCUCAGCUUCCCCUCAGAAGAAGUACCACCACCUGCCAGAUGAAGGAGCCUUUUGAGAGGCAGCUGGCAUCGUGAUUGGACUGUAUUUUGGUCUGUUCCAAUCCAGCUUCAGCUCCAGAGACGGCAGGCGGGACGAGUCAACGGAGGCCGGGUGGACAAAGGCAUGCAGCUGAGUACAAUCCAGAAAACAACAGAGGAGGAGUGCAGCGGCCCAGGGCCAGAAAAAACAGAGUAUGUCUCUUAGAAAACAUCAUAGUAUAGCCUUUGGUAUGAAAAAACACCAUCAUAUACAUCGUAUAUUGUACAAAUAACAAGUCAAAGCAAAGAGACAUACAUUGUAGAAUUGUAGUAAUUGUGGGCUGACUGAUUUACUGAUUAUCAGUAUUUUAUUUUUUACUGAUUUACGGUAAUAAAUAAAUUUAAAAAUGG
Molecule: long non-coding RNA, 632 nt
Organism: Amphiprion ocellaris (clown anemonefish)
Lineage: Eukaryota; Metazoa; Chordata; Actinopteri; Pomacentridae
Exons: 2
Source: RefSeq, a predicted model, not a curated record